GAUGAACGCUGGCGGCGUGCCUAAUACAUGCAAGUCGAGCGAAGCGGGGACGGGUGAGUAACACAUGUAUAACCUCCUAUAAGACUGGGAUAAAUUCGUGAAAACGGAGCUAAAACGGAUACUUAUCGAUGGAUCCGCGCUGCAUUAGCUAGUUGGUAAGGUAACGGCUUACCAAGGCAACGAUCCAUAGCCGACCUGAGAGGGUGAUCGGCCACACUGGAACUGAGACACGGUCCAGACUCCUACGGGAGGCAGCAGUGGGGAAUCUUCCACAAUGGGCGAAAGCCUGACGGAGCAACGCCGCGUGAGUGAAGAAGGCCUUCGGAUUGUAAAGCUCUUUUAUUAGGGAAGCGUUACCUAAUCAGAAAGCCACGGCUAACUACGUGCCAGCAGCCGCGGUAAUUC
RNAcentral lists this ribosomal RNA (405 nucleotides) under uncultured bacterium. Its description in RNAcentral is "partial 16S ribosomal RNA". It matches the Rfam family "Bacterial small subunit ribosomal RNA", at positions 28 to 526 of the family's 1533-position model. The record is from RNAcentral.